This 273-nucleotide ribosomal RNA is filed under the name uncultured bacterium. RNAcentral describes it as "partial 16S ribosomal RNA". It matches the Rfam family "Bacterial small subunit ribosomal RNA", at positions 88 to 354 of the family's 1533-position model. The record is from RNAcentral.
CCGGCGACCGGCGGCACGGUGAGUAACACGUAUGCAACCUGGCCGGUCACAGGUGGAUAACCGGAAGAAAUUCCGACUAAUACAGCAUAACAACUCCUGAGGGGACAUCCUUCGGGAGUCAAAGGAGGCAACUCCGGUGACGGAUGGGCAUGCGGCGCAUUAGGUAGUUGGUAGGGUAACGGCCUACCAAGCCGACGAUGCGUAGGGGUUCUGAGAGGAAGGUCCCCCACAUUGGAACUGAGACACGGUCCAAACUCCUACGGAAGGCAGCAG